RNAcentral lists this ribosomal RNA (448 nucleotides) under uncultured bacterium. Its description in RNAcentral is "partial 16S ribosomal RNA". It matches the Rfam family "Bacterial small subunit ribosomal RNA", at positions 354 to 796 of the family's 1533-position model. The record is from RNAcentral.
GUGCUGAAUUAUUCGCCAAUGCGCGAAAGCGUGACGGUGCGACGCCGCGUGCGGGACGAAGGCCUUCGGGUUGUAAACCGCUGUCAAGGUAUAGAAAACCGUCGGAGUUAAUAGCUCCGGCGCUGAUCCUACCUAAAGGAAGCACAGGCUAACCUCGUGCCAGCAGCCGCGGUAAUACGAGGUGUGCGAGCGUUGUUCGGAAUCACUGGGCAUAAAGGGUGCGUAGGCGGUGCGCCAAGUCGGGUGUGAAAUCCCUUCGCUUAACGGAGGAACUGCAUUCGAUACUAGCGUGCUAGAGGGUAAAAGGGGCAAGCGGAAUUCUAGGUGUAGCGGUGGAAUGCGUAGAUAUCUGGGAGAACGCCGAGGGCGAAGGCAGCUUGCUGGGUUACUUCUGACGCUGAGGCACGAAAGCUAGGGGAGCAAACAGGAUUAGAUACCCGUGUAGUCC